CCUACGGGGGGCAGCAGGGGGGAAUAUUGGGCAAUGGAGGAAACUCUGACCCAGCAACGCCGCGUGAAUGAUGAAGGUCUUCGGAUUGUAAAGUUCUUUUCUAAGGGAAGAAGAAAGUGACGGUACCUUAGGAAUAAGCCUCGGCUAACUACGUGCCAGCAGCCGCGGUAAUACGUAGGAGGCAAGCGUUAUCCGGAAUGACUGGGCGUAAAGGGUGCGUAGGUGGUUUGAUAAGUUGGUAGCGUAACUCCGAGGCUCAACCUCGGCACUACUACCAAAACUGUCGGACUUGAGUGCAGGAGGGGCAACUGGAAUUCCUAGUGUAGCGGUGGAAUGCGUAGAGAUUAGGAAGAACACCAGUGGCGAAGGCGGCUUACUGGACUGUAACUGACGCUGAGGCAUGAGAGCAUGGGGAGCAAACAGGAUUAGAUACCCCGGUAGUC
Molecule: ribosomal RNA, 443 nt
Filed under: uncultured bacterium
Lineage: Bacteria
Description: partial 16S ribosomal RNA
Rfam family: Bacterial small subunit ribosomal RNA
Source: RNAcentral